GACGAACGCUGGCGGCGUGCUUAACACAUGCAAGUCGAACGCUGAAGCUCAGCUUUUGUUGGGUGGAUGAGUGGCGAACGGGUGAGUAACACGUGAGUAACCUGCCCCCUUCUUUGGGAUAACGCCCGGAAACGGGUGCUAAUACUGGAUAUUCACUGGUCUUCGCAUGGGGGUUGGUGGAAAGGGUUUUUCUGGUGGGGGAUGGGCUCGCGUCCUAUCAGCUUGUUGGUGGGGUGAUGGCCUACCAAGGCUUUGACGGGUAGCCGGCCUGAGAGGGUGACCGGUCACAUUGGGACUGAGAUACGGCCCAGACUCCGACGGGGGGCGGCAGUGGGGAAUAUUGCACAAUGGGCGAAAGCCUGAUGCAGCGACGCCGCGUGAGGGAUGGAGGCCUUCGGGUUGUGAACCUCUGUCGCUCAUGGUCAAGCCGCAACAAUGGUUGUGGUGGGGGUAGUGGGUAAAGAAGCGCCGGCUAACUACGUG
This 483-nucleotide ribosomal RNA is filed under the name uncultured bacterium. Its description in RNAcentral is "partial 16S ribosomal RNA". It matches the Rfam family "Bacterial small subunit ribosomal RNA", at positions 28 to 507 of the family's 1533-position model. The record is from RNAcentral.